Molecule: ribosomal RNA, 461 nt
Filed under: uncultured bacterium
Lineage: Bacteria
Description: partial 16S ribosomal RNA
Rfam family: Bacterial small subunit ribosomal RNA
Source: RNAcentral
CCUACGGGAGACUGCAGUGAGGAAUAUUGGUCAAUGGGCUUACGCCUGAACCAGCCAAGUCGCGUGAGGGAAGACUGCCCUAUGGGUUGUAAACCUCUUUGGUCAGGGAGCAACGCCGGCUACGUGUAGCCGGACUGAGAGUACCUGAAGAAAAAGCAUCGGCUAACUCCGUGCCAGCAGCCGCGGUAACACGGAGGGGGCAAGCGUUAUCCGGAUUUACUGGGUGUAAAGGGAGCGUAGACGGUGCGCCAAGUCUGGAGUGAAAUGCCGCAGCUUAACUGCGGAACUGCUUUGGAAACUGGCGAACUAGAGUGCGGGAGGGGUAAGCGGAAUUCCUAGUGUAGCGGUGAAAUGCAUAGAUAUCACGCAGAACUCCGAUCGCGAAGGCAGCCUACCGGCGCGCAACUGACGCUCAUGCACGAAAGCGUGGGUAUCGAACAGGAUUAGAUACCCGAGUAGUC